Molecule: ribosomal RNA, 900 nt
Filed under: Leratiomyces squamosus
Lineage: Eukaryota; Fungi; Basidiomycota; Agaricomycetes; Agaricales; Strophariaceae
Description: LSU rRNA
Rfam family: Eukaryotic large subunit ribosomal RNA
Source: RNAcentral
CUAACAGGAUUCCCCUAGUAACUGCGAGUGAAGCGGGAAAAGCUCAAAUUUAAAAUCUGGCASCCUUCGGUUGUCCGAGUUGUAAUCUAGAGAAGUGUUAUCCGCGCUGGACCGUGUACAAGUCUCCUGGAAUGGAGCGUCAUAGAGGGUGAGAAUCCCGUCUUUGACACGGACUGCCAGGGCUUUGUGAUGCGCUCUCAAAGAGUCGAGUUGUUUGGGAAUGCAGCUCAAAAUGGGUGGUAAAUUCCAUCUAAAGCUAAAUAUUGGCGAGAGACCGAUAGCGAACAAGUACCGUGAGGGAAAGAUGAAAAGAACUUUGGAAAGAGAGUUAAACAGUACGUGAAAUUGCUGAAAGGGAAACGCUUGAAGUCAGUCGCGUUGUCUGGGAAUCAACCUUGCUUUUGCUGGGCUUACUUUCCAGAUAAUGGGUCAGCAUCAAUUUUGAUCGUUGGAUAAAGUCAGGAGGAAUGUGGCAUCUUCGGGUGUGUUAUAGCCUCUUGUCGCAUACAACGGUUGGGAUUGAGGAACUCAGCACGCCGAAAGGCCGGGUACUUGUACCACGUUCGUGCUUAGGAUGCUGGCAUAAUGGCUUUAAUCGACCCGUCUUGAAACACGGACCAAGGAGUCUAACAUGCCUGCGAGUAUUUGGGUGGAAAACCCGAGUGCGCAAUGAAAGUGAAAGUUGAGAUCCCUGUCAUGGGGAGCAUCGACGCCCGGACCAGACCUUUUGUGACGGAUCUGCGGUAGAGCAUGUAUGUUGGGACCCGAAAGAUGGUGAACUAUGCCUGAAUAGGGUGAAGCCAGAGGAAACUCUGGUGGAGGCUCGUAGCGAUUCUGACGUGCAAUCGAUCGUCAAUUUGGGUAUAGGGGCGAAAGACUAAUCGAACCAUCUAGUAGCUG